RNAcentral lists this ribosomal RNA (207 nucleotides) under uncultured bacterium. Its description in RNAcentral is "partial 16S ribosomal RNA". It matches the Rfam family "Bacterial small subunit ribosomal RNA", at positions 524 to 731 of the family's 1533-position model. The record is from RNAcentral.
UACGAAGGGGGCUAGCGUUGCUCGGAAUCACUGGGCGUAAAGCGCACGUAGGCGGAUCUUUAAGUCAGGGGUGAAAUCCCAAGGCUCAACCUUGGAACUGCCUUUGAUACUGGGGAUCUCGAGUCCGGAAGAGGUGAUGGAACUGCGAGUGUAGAGGUGAAAUUCGUAGAUAUUCGCAAGAACACCAGUGGCGAAGGCGGCUCACUG